GGGAGCGUCCGUGGCUGACUGGUUACGGUGUUCGCUUUGUAAGCGAAUGGUUCUGGGUUCAAUGCCCAUCUGCUCUCA
RNAcentral lists this transfer RNA (78 nucleotides) under Culex quinquefasciatus (southern house mosquito). RNAcentral's name for it is "tRNA-Thr". The record is from RNAcentral. Lineage: Eukaryota; Metazoa; Arthropoda; Insecta; Diptera; Culicidae.